Molecule: long non-coding RNA, 201 nt
Filed under: Vigna radiata
Lineage: Eukaryota; Viridiplantae; Streptophyta; Magnoliopsida; Fabales; Fabaceae
Description: long non-coding RNA (VRAD_LNC015966)
Source: RNAcentral
CCUGUCAUAACAUAAAAGUAUUAUCAAAAUUAACACUUAAUAAUCUAAUUUAUCUAGCAAACUUGUUCAUACACUCAAAAUAAUAAUUAGAAUAUUUAAUGUAGUAUCAAAAUAAUAAUGUUGAUACUAAUUGAUGUGGAAAUAUCUAACAAGGAAGUCAAUUUUGUUGAUUAAGGUUGGUUCUAACAAUGAAACAAAAAU